Vicugna pacos (alpaca) is the source of this 1306-nucleotide non-coding RNA. The record is from RefSeq and is a predicted model, not a curated record. Lineage: Eukaryota; Metazoa; Chordata; Mammalia; Artiodactyla; Camelidae.
GCAGGGCCUGGGAUAAUACACGUUCUGCUCUCUGCAAUGAUCUGGUGUCAGGCAGUGACUCCUACUCCACAGGGCUUUGGAAAUCUGUAAUAGCAGAUCCUGUCUGGAAUGUUCCUUCUGAGAUGCAGAGAUAAGCUCUAUCCACAAAGAGGGUAGAACAGGUGUGUCGCAGGGGCCAGAUGCGGAGAUGAGAAGCCCCUUGUCAAGGAAUCCUCUUCAACUGAUGGUGGUUCCCAGUAGGGGCUGUGGCCAGGACACCUGCAGGGGACCCUUCUGGAUGGCUGCUUGGACGUCCUCACAGCAUGGUGCCUGGGUUCCAAGGAUGAUCAUCCUGAGAGAGCAAACCAGGCAGAUAUGUCUGUCACCUUUUAUCACUUAGCCUCGAAAGUCACCUCACGUCACUCUCACCAUAGUCUUAGAUCUGCUAGAUUCAAGAGGAUGGAACUUAGAUCCAAUUUCUUGAUGGAGGAGUGUCAAGAUCAUAUUAUAAAAAGGGCACACGGGCUGGGACUCGUCUUUGGAGAAAUACAGUCUGCCACAGAGAAUAAACUAGCCCCCUGCACCAUCCUUGAGCUUUCAUGAAUGUCAGUGACAACAGACACCAUAAGGUGAAAUGAAGUGUGCAGUCAUGAAGAAAUAAGGCAGCAAGUACAAUCUUGAUAAAUGAGAAAUACCAUCCUUUCUGCCUCUUCUCCCAUUGGGUUGGAAGUUGGGAACGGAUCCAUCCGCCUGGGCUAGAAAAGAGAUAUUGUGCAGAGUUUCCGGGCCAAGCCCGUGGACUUAGGAUUCUCACCUGACCUGUUAUUCUAAAGCCUAUAAAACUCCCUUUAUUAGUUUAUGUUGUUGCAUGACAAAUUACCAUAAAUUUGGCAGCUUAAACAAUACCCAUUUAUUACUUCACAGUUUUGUUAAGUCAGGAGUCGAGGGUCAGGAAUCUAGGCAGGUUUGUGCUCGGUUAUUACGAGGCUGAAAUGAAGAUGUCAGUGGUCUGGCUGUGGGGAAGAGUCUGUCAAUACUCCAGAAAUUGUAUCAGUUCUUCUGGGCUGGGUGCUGCUAGGGAGUUUUUGACCACCAGGGGGCGCAAGAACCACAAUCCCUAUGGCUGGGGAGCGUGGCCUGAGUUCCAGCUCCCUUCUGCCACCUUGGUCCAGUAACCAGCAGCAUUCCCCUGGGAACUUGUCAGAAAAGCAGAAUCUCAGGCCCCAAACCUAGACCUGCUGAAUCAAAAUCUGCAUUUUGUCAAGACUCAGGCAAUGCGUGUGCACACUGAAGUUAGAGGAGCACUCCAGCUCACGGCUUCUCAACC